GCUCGUAGUUGGAUUUGUGGUGUACUUCGGCGGCCCGUCACUAUGUGAUGGAGCUUGCUGAAGUCGCCAUCCUUGGGUGGAUCCUGUGUGGCAUUAAGUUGUCGUGCAGGGGAUGCCCAUCGUUUACUGUGAAAAAAUUAGAGUGUUCAAAGCAGGCUUAUGCCGUUGAAUAUAUUAGCAUGGAAUAAUAAGAUAGGACCUUGGUACUAUUUUGUUGGUUUGCGCACCAAGGUAAUGAUUAAUAGGGACAGUUGGGGGUAUUCGUAUUUCAUUGUCAGAGGUGAAAUUCUUGGAUUUUUGAAAGACGAACUACUGCGAAAGCAUUUACCAAGGAUGUUUUCAUUAAUCAAGAACGAAAGU
Molecule: ribosomal RNA, 360 nt
Filed under: Cylindrotheca closterium
Lineage: Eukaryota; Bacillariophyta; Bacillariophyceae; Bacillariales; Bacillariaceae
Description: SSU rRNA
Rfam family: Eukaryotic small subunit ribosomal RNA
Source: RNAcentral